Molecule: ribosomal RNA, 342 nt
Filed under: Triticum aestivum (bread wheat)
Lineage: Eukaryota; Viridiplantae; Streptophyta; Magnoliopsida; Poales; Poaceae
Description: partial small subunit ribosomal RNA
Source: RNAcentral
AUGUUGUUUAACACUUGGUUGAAUCUGAUACCACACACAAACAUGUUUGGAGCUUCACAUAUGAGCAAUUUUUCUGUCGAAAUUUCUGGUCUGGCCUAUCGUUUCUUUCUGGGUGUUGUUGCAACUUUGUGUGGAACAUCCAAACAUUUUAAGAGCAAGGCAAACAUGUGUGGAACUUCACAUAUGAGCAAUUUUUCUAUCGAGAUAUCUCGUCUGGCCUUUUGUUUUCUUUCUGGGUGUUGUUGCAAUGUGGAAUAUCCAAACGGGAAAAUUUACGAGCAAGGCAAACAUAGGUGGAGCUUCACAUAUGAGCAAACACAUGUGUACAAACCAGCGUUCUAG